GACGAACGCUGGCGGCGUGCCUAAUACAUGCGAGUAGAACGCACAGUUUAUACCGUAGCUUGCUACACCAUAGACUGUGAGUUGCGAACGGGUGAGUAACGCGUAGGUAACCUGCCUGGUAGCGGGUGAUAACUAUUGGAAACGAUAGCUAAUACCGCAUAAUAUUAAUUAUUGCAUGAUAAUUAAUUGAAAGGUGCAAUUGCACCACUACCAGAUGGACCUGCGUUGUAUUAGCUAGUAGGUGAGGUAACGGCUCACCUAGGCGACGAUACAUAGCCGACCUGAGAGGGUGAUCGGCCACACUGGGACUGAGACACGGCCCAGACUCCUACGGGAGGCAGCAGUAGGGAAUCUUCGGCAAUGGACGAAAGUCUGACCGAGCAACGCCGCGUGAGUGAAGAAGGGUUUCGGAUCGUAAAGAUCUGUUGUAAGAGAAGAACGGGUGUGAGAGUGGAAAGUUCACACUGUGACGGUAUCUUAACAGAAAGGGACGGCUAACUACGUG
This 505-nucleotide ribosomal RNA is filed under the name uncultured bacterium. Its description in RNAcentral is "partial 16S ribosomal RNA". It matches the Rfam family "Bacterial small subunit ribosomal RNA", at positions 28 to 507 of the family's 1533-position model. The record is from RNAcentral.